GGCCAGCUAGCUCAGUUGGUUAGAGCGUGGUGCUAAUAACACCAAGGUCAUGGGUUCAAGCCCCAUGCUGGCCA
Molecule: transfer RNA, 74 nt
Filed under: Pelodiscus sinensis (Chinese soft-shelled turtle)
Lineage: Eukaryota; Metazoa; Chordata; Testudines; Trionychidae
Also listed under: 1 other name
Rfam family: tRNA
About the family: Transfer RNA (tRNA) molecules are approximately 80 nucleotides in length. Their secondary structure includes four short double-helical elements and three loops (D, anti-codon, and T loops).
Source: Rfam by way of RNAcentral